RNAcentral lists this ribosomal RNA (499 nucleotides) under Arabidopsis thaliana (thale cress). The record is from RNAcentral. Lineage: Eukaryota; Viridiplantae; Streptophyta; Magnoliopsida; Brassicales; Brassicaceae.
GGGCAAAGUUGGCAUGUGAUACCUUUUCGGAAAGCCCAAAGAGAGCCCUCCGACGAAAGAAGCAAGACAAUGGAACUUUUCCAUUGACUUUUUAUCGACUCCAAAUUUUGACCUUUAAGUACUUUUUCGGGCAUUUUCGUGAUUUGUGCUAUAUUACGGACCCAAAAUUACUUUUUCAAGCAUUGUUUUCGAAUAUUUUUCAUGCAUCAAAGCUCGUUAAGACUAGAUGGGGUAUCCCUACAUGGCGGGUGGGACCCACGGCGAACGGUUCAUCAAGACUUAAAAAAAGAAUAUAUACGAUUGCAUUGCAUAUACUAACGGAUGCGAUCAUACCAGCACUAAUGCACCGGAUCCCAUCAGAACUCCGCAGGUAAGCGUGCUUGGGCGAGAGUAGUACUAGGAUGGGUGACCUCCCGGGAAGUCCUCGUGUUGCAUCCCUCUUUUAUGUUAACCUUUUUUUUUUUGGUUAAAACUUUAUGACUCCAUAACUUGUAAACCG